UCGAGAAUCUUCCGCAAUGGGCGCAAGCCUGACGGAGCGAUGCCGCGUGAGGGAAGAAGGCCUUCGGGUCGUAAACCUCUGUCACCCGGGACGAAACCAAUGACGGUACCGGGAGAGGAAGCCACGGCUAACUACGUGCCAGCAGCCGCGGUAACACGUAGGUGGCGAGCGUUAUUCGGAUUCACUGGGCGUAAAGGGUCCGCAGGGGGCCCUCCAAGCCCGCCGUGAAAUCCCGGGGCUCAACCCCGGAAGUGCGGCGGGGACUGGCGGGCUGGAGUAUGCGAUGGGCAAUUGGAACACCAGGUGUAGCGGUGGAAUGCGUGGAUAUCUGGUGGAACACCGAUGGCGAAAGCGAAUUGCUGGCGCAUCACUGACCCUCAUGGACGAAAGCGU
RNAcentral lists this ribosomal RNA (393 nucleotides) under uncultured bacterium. Its description in RNAcentral is "bacterial SSU rRNA". It matches the Rfam family "Bacterial small subunit ribosomal RNA", at positions 355 to 762 of the family's 1533-position model. The record is from RNAcentral.